RNAcentral lists this ribosomal RNA (796 nucleotides) under uncultured Methanosarcina sp. Its description in RNAcentral is "bacterial SSU rRNA". It matches the Rfam family "Archaeal small subunit ribosomal RNA", at positions 85 to 879 of the family's 1478-position model. The record is from RNAcentral. Lineage: Archaea; Methanobacteriati; Methanobacteriota; Methanomicrobia; Methanosarcinales; Methanosarcinaceae.
ACGGCUCAGUAACACGUGGAUAACCUGCCCUUGGGACCGGCAUAACCCCGGGAAACUGGGGAUAAUUCCGGAUAACGCAUAUAUGCUGGAAUGCUUUAUGCGUAAAAUGGAUUCGUCCGCCCAAGGAUGGGUCUGCGGCCUAUCAGGUAGUAGUGGGUGUAAUGUACCUACUAGCCGACAACGGGUACGGGUUGUGAGAGCAAGAGCCCGGAGAUGGAUUCUGAGACAUGAAUCCAGGCCCUACGGGGCGCAGCAGGCGCGAAAACUUUACAAUGCGGGAAACCGUGAUAAGGGGACACCGAGUGUCAGCAUCAUAUGCUGGCUGUCCAGGUGUGUAAAAUACACCUGUUAGCAAGGGCCGGGCAAGACCGGUGCCAGCCGCCGCGGUAACACCGGCGGCCCGAGUGGUGAUCGUGAUUAUUGGGUCUAAAGGGUCCGUAGCCGGUUUGGUCAGUCCUCCGGGAAAUCUGAUAGCUCAACUAUUAGGCUAUCGGGGGAUACUACCAGACUUGGAACCGGGAGAGGUAAGAGGUACUACAGGGGUAGGAGUGAAAUCUUGUAAUCCCUGUGGGACCACCUGUGGCGAAGGCGUCUUACCAGAACGGGUUCGACGGUGAGGGACGAAAGCUGGGGGCACGAACCGGAUUAGAUACCCGGGUAGUCCCAGCCGUAAACGAUGCUCGCUAGGUGUCAGGCAUGGCGCGACCGUGUCUGGUGCCGCAGGGAAGCCGUGAAGCGAGCCACCUGGGAAGUACGGCCGCAAGGCUGAAACUUAAAGGAAUUGGCGGGGGAGCAC